RNAcentral lists this ribosomal RNA (405 nucleotides) under uncultured bacterium. RNAcentral describes it as "partial 16S ribosomal RNA". It matches the Rfam family "Bacterial small subunit ribosomal RNA", at positions 30 to 526 of the family's 1533-position model. The record is from RNAcentral.
AUUGAACGCUAGCGGGAUGCUUUACACAUGCAAGUCGAACGAGUGGCGGACGGGUGAGUAAUAUAUCGGAACGUGCCCAGUAGCUGGGGAUAACUACUCGAAAGAGUGGCUAAUACAGCAUACUAUUGGAGAGACCGAGAUCGGAUUAGCUAGUUGGUGGGGUAAAGGCUCACCAAGGCAACGAUCCGUAGCUGGUUUGAGAGGACGACCAGCCACACUGGGACUGAGACACGGCCCAGACUCCUACGGGAGGCAGCAGGGGGGAAUCUUGGACAAGGGGGGAAACCCUGACCCAGCCAUCCCGCGUGUAUGAGAAGGCCUUCGGGUUGUAAAGUACUUUUUGCAGAGAAGCGGUAUCUGCAGAAUAAACACCGGCUAACUACGUGCCAGCAGCCGCGGUAAUUC